UGGCCUGUGAGGAGAACUAUUAUUAAAAAACACCAUCUUUCGGGACUGAAUGGCCUUUUUGGCCUUGAUGUUAAUUCUGCAAUUCUGAGGCCA
This is a small nucleolar RNA of Lycium barbarum (goji berry), 93 nucleotides long. RefSeq annotates it as small nucleolar RNA SNORD96 family. The record is from RefSeq and is a predicted model, not a curated record. The transcript has a single exon. NCBI's taxonomy places the organism in Eukaryota, Viridiplantae, Streptophyta, Magnoliopsida, Solanales, Solanaceae.